This 253-nucleotide ribosomal RNA is filed under the name uncultured bacterium. RNAcentral's name for it is "partial 16S ribosomal RNA". It matches the Rfam family "Bacterial small subunit ribosomal RNA", at positions 524 to 776 of the family's 1533-position model. The record is from RNAcentral.
UACGUAGGGGGCAAGCGUUGUCCGGAAUCACUGGGCGUAAAGCGCGUGUAGGCGGCCCGAUAAGUCCGCUGUGAAAGUCCAGGGCUCAACCCUGGGAUGCCGGUGGAUACUGUCGGGCUCGAGUCCGGAAGAGGCGAGUGGAAUUCCUGGUGUAGCGGUGAAAUGCGCAGAUAUCAGGAGGAACACCAAUGGCGAAGGCAGCUCGCUGGGACGUGACUGACGCUGAGACGCGAAAGCGUGGGGAGCAAACAGG